RNAcentral lists this long non-coding RNA (252 nucleotides) under Nicotiana benthamiana. Its description in RNAcentral is "long non-coding RNA (NBEN_LNC001366)". Lineage: Eukaryota; Viridiplantae; Streptophyta; Magnoliopsida; Solanales; Solanaceae. The record is from RNAcentral.
AACAUUCCCCCCUCCCCCCAACACACAAAUAUAGUAAGACCACUCUCAUAAUGAGCAUGAAGGGAUAUAUGAAUUAGUCCCAUCAGAAUUUCAUGACCAUUUUGUCUGGUGACUUUGUGGUCCAGUAAUGUAGCGUUAAGUUUCUUGAGCAUCUACAAUUCAUUGCUCGUUUCCAAGCCUGUUUCAAAUGCUCCACCUUCCAUCAUCAGUCCCCUCAGGUAUGUCUUAAAGUUUGCCAAUUUUUAUGAUUCA